ACUUAAAUAGCUUAUAUAGAGCAUAACAUUGAAGAUGUUAAGGAAAUAAAUUAUUUUUAGGUA
Molecule: transfer RNA, 63 nt
Filed under: Leiochrinini sp. 2 ACP-2013
Lineage: Eukaryota; Metazoa; Arthropoda; Insecta; Coleoptera; Tenebrionidae
Description: tRNA-Phe
Source: RNAcentral